GCGCCUUUUAAGUGGGAAACUUAAAUAGUUGUUGAUUAGUUUUUAAAAACAAGCUUUUCGCUUUGCACACUUUUAUCACAGUAUCACACUUGAAAGAAUCUUUUUUGAUGAAACAAACUCUAACUUCACGUACAGAACCGUGGACAAACGGAACCGUGCUCCAAGCUGCCAACGACGACUACGAACGGCUACAACAUCUGACGAUGUUGAUCUAGAUUUCAAUUUCGAUUAAAUAAAAUAAAAAAAAAACAAAAGAAUUGAUUUAAAAUUGAAAUUCAUCUGCACUUUCUUUCAUUAAUCCAACACAAACAAUCAGCACAAUGACUGUAUGACUACUGACGUCAAAAAUGAUCGCAUUUCACUCACAAGGAAUACGUAAAUCAACCAAAUCUGAUUUUGAGGAUUAUCUGAUAGAUACAAUAUCUAUCUUUUGCAGCUACAUGUAGAUAGAUAGAUAGGUAUGUAGGUAUGUAUAUUUAUGACUCACCGCAUCAUAAGUGUGUUCUUUCACUUAUCACAACUUCAAAAUAUGACAUUUUUUCGCGUUUUGUUUGUUUUUCCGUCGUUGCUUAAAAUAUUUAGCUGCCUAAUAUGUUUUUAUGCAAGAUCACUUCUUGUUAGAUACUAAAAGUGUAUCUCAUAGACACACUUGUUCUAUAGCUACCUUCCGGAUGGUUGAAAAGUCAUCAACUAACUGUCCAACCAGUCUUCUCCAGUGUAUCCAGUUCUGGUGUUUACUACGUCCGUCGUCGUCGUCACCGCUGCUAGCGGCCGUACGUCGUUGUUGUUUAUUGCUGCGAUACUAUAUUCAGGAAGGUAUGUACUCAUAUAUGAGUGUUUAGAUACAAUUUUUAUUUAAGUAUUUUUUGUUUCACUUUUUUUUUGUGGGAAAUUUACGAAUGAACUUUAUGUACGAAAAACUAAGUCAAUGGUCUUUAUAACAGCAUUGGUACACCAUGUGAAUGAAAAUUGAAUUUUCCUUCCACAACGUUACGAUCAGUGAUCUGUUGGUGCGUAUCCAUUAAGUACAUAUGUAUCUACAAUUGUUAAGAUAGAGUUAUAGUUAGAUACUCGCAGUGCAUAUUCUGUAGUUCUGAUGGUGUAGUCUGGAAUACGGCAGCAGCAUGAAUAUGGGGUUUUGGUGGGGAUAACAACGCUAUUCUCGGAGUGUUAAUAUUGCUCUUUAAAUGGAAAGCCACAUUAAAACUCAAAGUGAAAUUAAAUUUAAUAAAUUAAAAAAAAAA
Molecule: long non-coding RNA, 1244 nt
Organism: Eupeodes corollae
Lineage: Eukaryota; Metazoa; Arthropoda; Insecta; Diptera; Syrphidae
Exons: 2
Source: RefSeq, a predicted model, not a curated record